UACGUAGGUGGCAAGCGUUGUUCGGAAUUAUUGGGCGUAAAGGGCGCGUAGGCGGUCAUGACGAGUCACUUGUGAAAUCUCCGGGCUUAACUCGGAACGGUCAAGUGAUACUGUCAGACUAGAGUGCAGAAGGGGCAACUGGAAUUCUCGGUGUAGCGGUGAAAUGCGUAGAUAUCGAGAGGAACACCUGCGGCGAAGGCGGGUUGCUGGGCUGACACUGACGCUGAGGCGCGAAAGCCAGGGGAGCGAACGGG
RNAcentral lists this ribosomal RNA (254 nucleotides) under uncultured prokaryote. RNAcentral's name for it is "partial 16S ribosomal RNA". It matches the Rfam family "Bacterial small subunit ribosomal RNA", at positions 524 to 776 of the family's 1533-position model. The record is from RNAcentral.